AAUAUGUCAGCUAAUUAAGCUAAUGAGUUCAUAUCUCAUAAAUGAAUGA
Molecule: transfer RNA, 49 nt
Filed under: Phoneutria boliviensis
Lineage: Eukaryota; Metazoa; Arthropoda; Arachnida; Araneae; Ctenidae
Description: tRNA-Met
Source: RNAcentral